RNAcentral lists this ribosomal RNA (468 nucleotides) under uncultured bacterium. Its description in RNAcentral is "partial 16S ribosomal RNA". It matches the Rfam family "Bacterial small subunit ribosomal RNA", at positions 28 to 507 of the family's 1533-position model. The record is from RNAcentral.
GACGAACGCUGGCGGCGUGCUUAACACAUGCAAGUCGAACGGAAAGGCCCUGCUUUUGUGGGGUGCUCGAGUGGCGAACGGGUGAGUAACACGUGAGUAACCUGCCCUUGACUUUGGGAUAACUUCAGGAAACUGGGGCUAAUACCGGAUAGGAGCUCCUGCUGCAUGGGGGGGGUUGGAGAGUUUCGGCGGUGGGGGAUGGUCUCGCGGCUUAUCAGCUUGUUGGUGGGGUAGUGGCGUACCAAGGCUUUGACGGGUAGCCGGCCUGGGAGGGUGACCGGCCACAUUGCGACUGAGAUACGGCCCAGACUCCUACGGGACGCAGCAGUGGGGAGUAUUGCACAAUGGGCGGAAGCCUGAUGCAGCAACGCCGCGUGCGGGAUGACGGCCUUCGGGUUGUAAACCGCUUUCGCCUGUGACGAAGCGUGAGUGACGGUAAUGGGUAAAGAAGCACCGGCUAACUACGUG